CUUUUAGUAUAAGUAUGUCCCAUGCAGUAUUAGGGCAAUGUUUGGAACAUACUUAUACUAAAA
Molecule: microRNA precursor, 63 nt
Filed under: Camelus bactrianus (Bactrian camel)
Lineage: Eukaryota; Metazoa; Chordata; Mammalia; Artiodactyla; Camelidae
Also listed under: 2 other names
Description: mir-1302 microRNA precursor family
Rfam family: mir-1302 microRNA precursor family
Source: Rfam by way of RNAcentral